This 301-nucleotide ribosomal RNA is filed under the name uncultured bacterium. RNAcentral describes it as "partial 16S ribosomal RNA". It matches the Rfam family "Bacterial small subunit ribosomal RNA", at positions 509 to 808 of the family's 1533-position model. The record is from RNAcentral.
CAGUAGCCGCGGUAAUACGUAGGUCCCGAGCGUUGUCCGGAUUUAUUGGGCGUAAAGGGAGCGCAGGCGGUUUAGUAAGUCUGAAGUUAAAGGCAUUGGCUCAACCAAUGUAUGCUUUGGAAACUGUUAGACUUGAGUGCAGAAGGGGAGAGUGGAAUUCCAUGUGUAGCGGUGAAAUGCGUAGAUAUAUGGAGGAACACCGGUGGCGAAAGCGGCUCUCUGGUCUGUAACUGACGCUGAGGCUCGAAAGCGUGGGGAGCAAACAGGAUUAGAUACCCCAGUAGUCCCUGUCUCUUAUACA